GUGUCGUCCUGUUAUUGGAGGGGAAGAAGAUUUACUCCUGUGUCUGCUGUUCCAGCUUGCAGGGGAUUCAACGGGGAAAGUCCUUGUAAGGACUAGAGCUAAUUCCCCAUUCGGCUACAAAAAGGUUCUAGGGCACAGUCAAGCCACGGCGACUGUGGGUAGAAGUACUGCGGUCCAGCUAGGAAGUACUGCGGUUCCAGCUAGGAAGCGGUCCUUGGAGGAGGU
This is a non-coding RNA of Pelobates cultripes (western spadefoot toad), 225 nucleotides long. NCBI's taxonomy places the organism in Eukaryota, Metazoa, Chordata, Amphibia, Anura, Pelobatidae. The record is from the annotation of a GenBank genome assembly.